ACGGGUGAGUAACACGUGGGUAACCUGCCCAUCAGAAGGGGAUAACACUUGGAAGCAGGUGCUAAUACCGUAUAACACUAUUUUCCGCAUGGAAGAAAGUUGAAAGGCGCUUUUGCGUCACUGAUGGAUGGACCCGCGGUGCAUUAGCUAGUUGGUGAGGUAACGGCUCACCAAGGCCACGAUGCAUAGCCGACCUGAGAGGGUGAUCGGCCACACUGGGACUGAGACACGGCCCAGACUCCUACGGGAGGCAGCAGUAGGGAAUCUUCGGCAAUGGACGAAAGUCUGACCGAGCAACGCCGCGUGAGUGAAGAAGGUUUUCGGAUCGUAAAACUCUGUUGUUAGAGAAGAACAAGGAUGAGAGUAGAACGUUCAUCCCUUGACGGUAUCUAACCAGAAAGCCACGGCUAACUACGUGCCAGCAGCCGCGGUAAUACGUAGGUGGCAAGCGUUGUCCGGAUUUAUUGGGCGUAAAGCGAGCGCAGGCGGUUUCUUAAGUCUGAUGUGAAAGCCCCCGGCUCAACCGGGGAGGGUCAUUGGAAACUGGGAGACUUGAGUGCAGAAGAGGAGAGUGGAAUUCCAUGUGUAGCGGUGAAAUGCGUAGAUAUAUGGAGGAACACCAGUGGCGAAGGCGGCUCUCUGGUCUGUAACUGACGCUGAGGCUCGAAAGCGUGGGGAGCGAACAGGAUUAGAUACCCUGGUAGUCCACGCCGUAAA
This 717-nucleotide ribosomal RNA is filed under the name uncultured bacterium. RNAcentral's name for it is "bacterial SSU rRNA". It matches the Rfam family "Bacterial small subunit ribosomal RNA", at positions 102 to 806 of the family's 1533-position model. The record is from RNAcentral.